GAGUUUGAUCGUGGCUCAGGAUGAACGCUAGCGGCAGGCUUAAUACAUGCAAGUCGUGGGGCAGCAUGAGUAGCAAUACUUGAUGGCGACCGGCAAACGGGUGCGGAACACGUACACAACCUUCCUACAAGUGGGGAAUAGCCCAGAGAAAUUUGGAUUAAUACCCCGUAACAUAACGAUGUGGCAUCACAUUGUUAUUAUAGCUUCGGCGCUUGUUGAUGGGUGUGCGGCUGAUUAGAUAGUUGGCGGGGUAACGGCCCACCAAGUCUACGAUCAGUAGCUGAUGUGAGAGCAUGAUCAGCCACACGGGCACUGAGACACGGGCCCGACUCCUACGGGAGGCAGCAGUAAGGAAUAUUGGUCAAUGGGCGAAAGCCUGAACCAGCCAUGCCGCGUGAAGGAUUAAGGUCCUCUGGAUUGUAAACUUCUUUUAUCUGGGACGAAAAAGGCGAUUCUUCGUCACUUGACGGUACCAGAUGAAUAAGCACCGGCUAACUCCGUGCC
This 504-nucleotide ribosomal RNA is filed under the name uncultured Sphingobacterium sp. RNAcentral's name for it is "bacterial SSU rRNA". It matches the Rfam family "Bacterial small subunit ribosomal RNA", at positions 9 to 509 of the family's 1533-position model. Lineage: Bacteria; Pseudomonadati; Bacteroidota; Sphingobacteriia; Sphingobacteriales; Sphingobacteriaceae. The record is from RNAcentral.